UGAGUAACCUGCCCUUAACUCUGGGAUAAGCCUGGGAAACUGGGUCUAAUACCGGAUAUGACUCCUCAUCGCAUGGUGGGGGGCGGAAAGCUUUAUUGUGGUUUUGGAUGGACUCGCGGCCUAUCAGCUUGUUGGUGAGGUAAUGGCUCACCAAGGCGACGACGGGUAGCCGGCCUGAGAGGGUGACCGGCCACACUGGGACUGAGACACGGCCCAGACUCCUACGGGAGGCAG
RNAcentral lists this ribosomal RNA (234 nucleotides) under uncultured bacterium. RNAcentral's name for it is "partial 16S ribosomal RNA". It matches the Rfam family "Bacterial small subunit ribosomal RNA", at positions 118 to 351 of the family's 1533-position model. The record is from RNAcentral.